UACAUGUGGGGCAAGCGUUGUUCGGAAUUAAUGGGCAUAAAGGGUGCGCAGGCGGGCUGGUAAGUCUGGGGUGAAAUCUCGCCGCUUAACGGCGAAACUGCCUUAGAUACUAUCAGUCUUGGAUAAGCGAGAGGUUCGUGGAAUUCCGAGUGUAGCAGUGAAAUGUGUAGAUAUUCGGAAGAACACCAGUGGCGAAGGCAGCGAACUGGCGCUUUAUCGACGCUCAGGCACGAAAGCAUGGGGAUCAAACAGG
RNAcentral lists this ribosomal RNA (253 nucleotides) under uncultured bacterium. RNAcentral describes it as "partial 16S ribosomal RNA". It matches the Rfam family "Bacterial small subunit ribosomal RNA", at positions 524 to 776 of the family's 1533-position model. The record is from RNAcentral.